RNAcentral lists this long non-coding RNA (533 nucleotides) under Phoenix dactylifera (date palm). RNAcentral's name for it is "long non-coding RNA (PDAC_LNC021612)". Lineage: Eukaryota; Viridiplantae; Streptophyta; Magnoliopsida; Arecales; Arecaceae. The record is from RNAcentral.
UCGGCGGAUGAGAGCCUCGAUCUCGUCCCGAAGCUGGAAGCAGUCUUCGGUGUCGUGGCCGUGGUCCCGGUGGUACUCACAGUACGCCCGAGAGGGCCUCCUCCCAGGGAUCUUCUUCAUCUGUCUCGGGACCGGGAGGUCCUCUCGCCCCUUGAUUUCCAUGAGGAUCUGGGCCCGGGGAGUCAGGAGAGGAGUGUACCGGUUGAAACGUCGGGGCGGAGAACGAGGGCGUAGGGCGCCGUGGUUCCUCGCCGGCGACGGGCUUCUGCGCCGACGUUGAGGCGUCGGGCUCCUCCCCUGGCGUGCCUCUUUUCGCCUUUUCUUCCCGAGCUUUGGAGGGAUCUCGGCGGCCUCCUUGCUCCGGUGGGCGGCCGCCUCCUCGGCGUCCGCAUACUGGUUCGCCCGGGACAACAGCUCCGGGAAGCUCCGCGGCAGGCGUUUGUCCAGGGAGAAGGUGAGUCUGCCCUUUCGGAAGCCACGCUUCAGGGCUGAAAGAGCCACCUCCUGGCUCAGGUUCCGGACUUCCAACGUAG